This is a long non-coding RNA of Triticum dicoccoides, 775 nucleotides long. RefSeq lists it as uncharacterized. NCBI's taxonomy places the organism in Eukaryota, Viridiplantae, Streptophyta, Magnoliopsida, Poales, Poaceae. The record is from RefSeq and is a predicted model, not a curated record. The transcript has 4 exons.
AACUAAUGCUCAUUCUUUUUUUGUUGUUCCAUAGGUUUACCCGAAGAAGUUGUAGAAGAAGAGGAGCCUGCAGCAGCGAUCACUAUGAGCGACGGAGAAGGCAAGGCAGUUGUGCUGUAGAUUUCCGUUCAAAUCCAUUCAAAUCCACAGGAAUGCUACAUUUUGUUCAUCAUGGCUCAGGUGGCAGAGUGGGUUUUGGAGGAAGGCAUGGCUGGGGCCCAGGGAAACUGCUGCUUGCCACUGGACGAUGCUUUCUUCCUCCUCCUAAACUUUAACCGAAGAAGUUGUAGAAGAAGAGGAGCCUGCAGUAGCGAUCACUGUUAGUGACCGAGAAGGGGAGGCAGUUGUGCUACAGAUCUAAUUACAUACAUCCAUUCAGAUCCGCAGGUGGCAGCUGAGUGGUUUUUGGAGGAAGGCAUGGCCCCUGCGAAAGUAUUGCUUGCCACUGGACGAUGCAUUCUUCCUCCUCCUGAAGUACGAAAAUCCCGAAGCUUCAGACGCCCAUGUUUGGUUCUGUGAUCUAUUUAUCGAACUGUGCUGGAGCUUAUGUCAUACGAUCCCCUUAAGGCCUGCCUAGUGGCUUGAUACUUAGUGUGUCUCGCUACUUAUUAUUUUGUUACAUAUAUGUUGUGUUACUGACAGAAAAAGUUGUGCCCAUAAGAUGUACUCCCUCCGUCUCAUAAUAUAAGAACGUUUUUGAUAGUACACUAGUGUAAAAAACGUUCUUAUAUUAUGCAUGGGACGGAGGGAGUAUAGUACACUAGGUGGUGCUUAG